Molecule: long non-coding RNA, 563 nt
Organism: Oncorhynchus tshawytscha (Chinook salmon)
Lineage: Eukaryota; Metazoa; Chordata; Actinopteri; Salmoniformes; Salmonidae
Source: Ensembl
UGUGCUAAAUUUAUUUUUGUAAUUGUAUGGAUGAACAGACUUCCCCAAUGCUUAGUAUGUCCUUUUUAAUGAUACUUGCCUUCCAUCCUAUUUCUCCCAUCUCUUCCUCUCUAGGCCAUGGUCUUUCCAGUGGUUGGUACAGAAGUGGACUUCUGGUACAGAAGUGGACUUCAGCUCCUCUUGAUAUUCUGACACUGCUCUUCAGGGUUAUGUAUGCUGUGAAUGGGUGCCACCACUACCAGAUCGGUCCUUAUGCAGGAAGUGCAAUGGCCCAUCAUGGAGGGACUUGGGCAGGACCAGCUUGAAGAAAGAAUACUGUCUGACUGUUGCCUAAUCAUUUGCUGACCAGAUGAGACUCCUUAAGUUGAAGUGGCAUCAGCAUACUGUUGUCCUUGAUGCUCACCAUUUCUAUGUACUGUCACCAUUAAAGUCAUAAAUUGUUUACAAUUUUUACUGUUGCCAUCAGUGUUGCUUUUGCUUGCAUACUCAACUGCAGAAAUAUUACUUGAAAGCACUGAUUUUCAAAUGUAUUUCAUUUACCAAUCUAACUACCAAAAAUGAAU